GGAACUCGGAACGGUUGGGAAAUUUCCUGACGAGUCAGUAGCGUGGUAGAAGUGAGGAAGAGUAGACGUGUCGAAGGGAGCUCCCGGUGACUCGCCCAGUUGACAAUACAUACAAAUAAUUAAAAGUAACAAGUGUUCAAGACAGUGUCACAGAGGAACACAAUUUCAGGAAACAACUUUUGAAUCCCUGAUCUCUUGAGAAUUUGGG
Macrobrachium nipponense is the source of this 208-nucleotide long non-coding RNA. RefSeq lists it as uncharacterized. The transcript is spliced from 2 exons. The record is from RefSeq and is a predicted model, not a curated record. Lineage: Eukaryota; Metazoa; Arthropoda; Malacostraca; Decapoda; Palaemonidae.